UAAAAAUAUGGCCUUGUAUGUGGAUUUUGGGAGGUGAUUACGGGACUUGUGAGUGACAUGUCUCUAGACUAGUGUGUAAUGAAGUGAUUUGUGUGUGUUGUGGAGCAGCAUGACACAUUGGUUAGAUUAAAACAAAUGUGCCAUGCUGUUCUCUCUUUUUUUUUUUACCUUACUAUGAUCAAAUAACAACCUAAAAUAACCAUUUAUUAGAAUACUAUAUGAGGCACAAAAGCCCAAACGUAAAUGUUAUUCAUUAAUGCCUUUUUAGUAAAGAAAAGAAGGGAGUUUUUUUAUCUGUAAUUUGUAAAGGAAAAAAGGUAGUUAAACAAAUUAAUGACAUUUAUUCAUUUUAAAUGUAAAUACAGGAAGUGCUCUAUUGUGAUGGAGAAGGGUUCAUCCAAACUUGUCUUAAAAACUCCAGAAUGUCACAGCAACAGAAGAAGAAAAUGAGGAAACCGAAUAAGACCAGCGAUGAAAAAGAAGAUGAAGCAGGUAUAGAUGAUGCACUAUUGGAAGAGACUGGUGCAAAGGAAAUGGUUGAAUGGAUGAAGCAUGCCAGCCCAACCAAAGAAAACUUACCAGCAAUAAGAGAAUACUUUCAGCGAACUUAUGAGUAUCGGCAGGCACAGGUCAAAGGGGAACUCUCUGUUAUCGAGCUCAUAGACCUGUAUCCAUGAUACGAGGAUUUAUCCAACUUGAUCAGUGUUGAAUUUGCACUUAUGUUUCCUGAGGAGUCUGGGAAUUUUCUGAAAAAAUGGGGGACUACCUUCAGGGAGAACAUCAUCACCUCUGCCAAGGAGGAUUAUGCUACAAUACAACAGGUCAUGAAAGAUGAAGUUUCUGACAGAAGGAACUGAUUUGAGGAUGACCACUGGAAACUGAGAAAAUGUUCAGCCAACCUUUCCUUUUGAAGAAGAGCAAGCGACACUACUUGGUGUUGGACCAAAAAGUCCUUGUGGCAGGUGAUAUACCUUUGUUGAUAGAUUUGACAGGCUCUUCAAAGCCCAUUACUGUUUCGAUGUCCACUUUGCCCAAGUUUUGGCACCAUUUUAUGGAUAUUUAGCAGCCUGCGUAUAUGGGGUGUUGCACCCAUCCAAGGUGAGACCUGCAGUGCGCUCAAUUGCAUCAGUUAUUAUGUCUGAUCAGUAAUCCGUACAAACUGAACCCUCUUCGUGUUAGACCAAAAUGUUAUACUUUGAUCAUCACUAAAUAGGCAGGCCAAUUCACAUCGUGAAUUGAUAUAGAAAAGUACUGAACACAGCAGAACUGCAGCAGACGCAGCUUCUGUCUUACAUUUGACACGCGCAUCCGUAUCUAUGAUGUGCGUGUGAGUGGGAUUACCUUGCGCGCAGAUGAAGAAAAGCCUUACAUUUCCUGCCUGUUUAGUGAUAAUCAAAGUUGAGUGGCAGGUGAUGGCUGUGUCAAAUUAUUUGACAGGCUAUUAGAAGCCCAUUUUGUUGUUUUAAAGGGAUGGUCUGGGUUAAAAAUAUUUAUACAUGUAUCUGAAUA
Molecule: long non-coding RNA, 1509 nt
Organism: Lytechinus variegatus (green sea urchin)
Lineage: Eukaryota; Metazoa; Echinodermata; Echinoidea; Temnopleuroida; Toxopneustidae
Exons: 4
Source: RefSeq, a predicted model, not a curated record